AUGCAAAAACAUGAGAGUUUGGACCUCGACUCGAAGACGCGAGCGUCCGAGCUUGCUGCGGCCCUUAAAACUGCCAAAUCUGCCAAGGCUGAAGCCCAGAAGGCCCUCCAGGAAUUGGAUGCGGUGAAAAAGAUAGCGGCGGGGGCAUUCGCAGAUCUUCCCCGCAGCGUAUCCGAUGCCGCCGCAUUCUACCGAGCCGAGGAAGGCAGCUCGACGGAGAAGGUGUUCUGGUCUCAGUACGCUGAGGCCGGACACCCUGUGCCCUUGAGCGACCAGCUAAAGCAGCUGGUCGAGCUCCACAAGGCGGCCGAACAGGCCCUGAAGGGCUUCAUAGUUCGGCUGUGGCCUAGAGAGGCCCUGCCUGGGAGCUACUUCGGACUGGUGCGGCGGCUGGUGGAGGCUUGUCCAAGGCUCGAGGUCAUCAAGCGCUCCUUCUGCAUCGAAGGUGCCCAUAGGGCCCUUGCCCGUGCAAAGGUGCAUUGGGGUAAGCUGGACGGUGAGAAGCUUGUGAAGGACGGGCCGCCGCCAGGGAAGGAGCAUCGCAAGCCCGAGAACUAUUACAAGGAUGUUCUUGCUGGUGCCCGCCUUGUGGCGGAUGAAUGUACCAAGGAUGUAAUUUUUGAAUGA
This 627-nucleotide ribosomal RNA is filed under the name Triticum aestivum (bread wheat). RNAcentral's name for it is "partial small subunit ribosomal RNA". Lineage: Eukaryota; Viridiplantae; Streptophyta; Magnoliopsida; Poales; Poaceae. The record is from RNAcentral.